UGUGAGAAUGUGGUGGCAGAGAGGGUAGAAAUGGAUGCUCGCCCUUGGUAUAUGAAGUGUUUCUGUUGCCUCAUAUGAAGCCUUAUAACCUGAGUAGGAGAAAGCAAGUGUUGGUUCAGCUUCUGUGGUCACCUGUAAAGAAGAAGAUGAAUUAGAUCUCUAGCAUAUAUGAUGGAUAUAGAUACUUCCAAUCUCACAUACUGAUUCUUCUUCCCUUUGUCUGAGUCUUAUAACCUGAGGAUGAGAAGUAAGUGUUGGUUAUAAUCGUUGUAGUAAGUGGACUAUAUAGCAAAGACUACUAUAGCAAAACAAUAGAGAAAGUAAACAGAUAAUAAUCGUUGUAGUUA
This is a long non-coding RNA of Arabidopsis lyrata subsp. lyrata, 347 nucleotides long. RefSeq lists it as uncharacterized. The transcript is spliced from 2 exons. The record is from RefSeq and is a predicted model, not a curated record. NCBI's taxonomy places the organism in Eukaryota, Viridiplantae, Streptophyta, Magnoliopsida, Brassicales, Brassicaceae.